CGGGGGCGGGCGUGCUAUACAUGCAAGUCGAACGCUUUGUGGUUCAACUGAUUUGAAGAGCUUGCUCAGAUAUGACGAUGGACAUUGCAAAGAGUGGCGAACGGGUGAGUAACACGUGGGAAACCUACCUCUUAGCAGGGGAUAACAUUUGGAAACAGAUGCUAAUACCGUAUAACAAUGACAACCGCAUGGUUGUUAUUUAAAAGAUGGUUCUGCUAUCACUAAGAGAUGGUCCCGCGGUGCAUUAGCUAGUUGGUAAGGUAAUGGCUUACCAAGGCGAUGAUGCAUAGCCGAGUUGAGAGACUGAUCGGCCACAAUGGGACUGAGACACGGCCCAUACUCCUACGGGAGGCAGCAGUAGGGAAUCUUCCACAAUGGGCGAAAGCCUGAUGGAGCAACGCCGCGUGUGUGAUGAAGGGUUUCGGCUCGUAAAACACUGUUGUAAGAGAAGAAUGACAUUGAGAGUAACUGUUCAAUGUGUGACGGUAUCUUACCAGAAAGGAACGGCUAAAUACGUGCCAGCAGCCGCGGUAAUACGUAUGUUCCAAGCGUUAUCCGGAUUUAUUGGGCGUAAAGCGAGCGCAGACGGUUAUUUAAGUCUGAAGUGAAAGCCCUCAGCUCAACUGAGGAAUUGCUUUGGAAACUGGAUGACUUGAGUGCAGUAGAGGAAAGUGGAACUCCAUGUGUAGCGGUGAAAUGCGUAGAUAUAUGGAAGAACACCAGUGGCGAAGGCGGCUUUCUGGACUGUAACUGACGUUGAGGCUCGAAAGUGUGGGUAGCAAACAGGAUUAGAUACCCUGGUAGUCCACACCGUAAACGAUGAGUGCUAGGUGUUUGAGGGUUUCCGCCCUUAAGUGCCGCAGCUAACGCAUUAAGCACUCCGCCUGGGGAGUACGACCGCAAGGUUGAAACUCAAAGGAAUUGACGGGGACCCGCACAAGCGGUGGAGCAUGUGGUUUAAUUCGAAGCAACGCGAAGAACCUUACCAGGUCUUGACAUCCCUUGACAACUCCAGAGAUGGAGCGUUCCCUUCGGGGACAAGGUGACAGGUGGUGCAUGGUUGUCGUCAGCUCGUGUCGUGAGAUGUUGGGUUAAGUCCCGCAACGAGCGCAACCCUUAUUACUAGUUGCCAGCAUUCAGUUGGGCACUCUAGUGAGACUGCCGGUGACAAACCGGAGGAAGGUGGGGAUGACGUCAAAUCAUCAUGCCCCUUAUGACCUGGGCUACACACGUGCUACAAUGGCGUAUACAACGAGUUGCCAACCCGCGAGGGUGAGCUAAUCUCUUAAAGUACGUCUCAGUUCGGAUUGUAGGCUGCAACUCGCCUACAUGAAGUCGGAAUCGCUAGUAAUCGCGGAUCAGCACGCCGCGGUGAAUACGUUCCCGGGUCUUGUACACACCGCCCGUCACACCAUGAGAGUUUGUAACACCCAAAGCCGGUGGGGUAACCUUCGGGAGCCAGCCGUCUAAGGUGACCAGAU
This 1481-nucleotide ribosomal RNA is filed under the name Weissella confusa. Its description in RNAcentral is "bacterial SSU rRNA". It matches the Rfam family "Bacterial small subunit ribosomal RNA". The record is from RNAcentral. Lineage: Bacteria; Bacillati; Bacillota; Bacilli; Lactobacillales; Lactobacillaceae.